Molecule: long non-coding RNA, 444 nt
Filed under: Lathyrus oleraceus (garden pea)
Lineage: Eukaryota; Viridiplantae; Streptophyta; Magnoliopsida; Fabales; Fabaceae
Description: Pisum sativum (pea) long non-coding RNA (PSAT_LNC012595)
Source: RNAcentral
AUCUAUUACUACUGAGAAGAGAAUUGGGGCACCUAUGUCCUCUCUGAAAGAUGCGCAGAAGAUUGUUGAAGAAGGUCCUGUUGAUCAGUGGGGGCGCGUGGUAGAGGUCGCCGACAACAAGGGAAUAACUGGUUUGGGGUUCCAGAAGGGUUCGUCAGCCAUUAGAUCUAAAGAGAUGCAACUCAGCUUCCGUAGAGGAUGGUUCAUUCAUGGGAAUGAACAACACUUAACUGUUGUGCUAGAGGACAAUGAAGAGGAAGACUGCACCAACUUUGUGACGCAUGGAUAUACAUGCAACAAUUGGACUGCUGUUGAUAUUCCUGUUAUUUUGCAUCAAUCUAAGUAAUUGCUUUAUUAUUUUAAAAAUCUUUCUCCUAUGCCUAAGGGAGAAGUGAACAUUGUUGGGCAUUUUAAAUUGAUCAUCAAUAAAAUUAAUUCUAUUCA